This is a long non-coding RNA of Phodopus roborovskii (desert hamster), 319 nucleotides long. RefSeq lists it as uncharacterized. The record is from RefSeq and is a predicted model, not a curated record. NCBI's taxonomy places the organism in Eukaryota, Metazoa, Chordata, Mammalia, Rodentia, Cricetidae. The transcript has 3 exons.
GAAACUCUGGGCUGAAGGAAUCCAGGCAGAGGAGCUGCAUUGCUUCCCAUGGAAAAGUCAAAAGUAUUCCUCCUGGCUUUCUUGGCCACUAGCUUUUUCUCAUGUCAUUUCGUGCAGUCAUUAUCAAAAGAAGUAUGUGCAGAAGAAACACAUAUGCUCCAUAAGAGUCAGCCCAUUGUGUGCUUCUAACAAUGUUACCUAUCCUAAUUCCUGUGUGUACUGCUUCGCCAACAUAGCUUUGGAUUUUUCGCUUCGAAUCCAAUACAGUGGAAAAUGUAUGAAGCCCACUUCUUGAUUAUUCUUCAUUCAUCACAAGUGA